Molecule: transfer RNA, 76 nt
Filed under: Silvibacterium dinghuense
Lineage: Bacteria; Pseudomonadati; Acidobacteriota; Terriglobia; Terriglobales; Acidobacteriaceae
Also listed under: 1 other name
Description: tRNA-Lys
Rfam family: tRNA
About the family: Transfer RNA (tRNA) molecules are approximately 80 nucleotides in length.
Source: RNAcentral
GAGCCUGUAGCUCAGUUGGUAGAGCAUCGCCCUUUUAAGGCGCUGGUCCUGGGUUCGAGCCCCAGCGGGCUCACCA